RNAcentral lists this long non-coding RNA (388 nucleotides) under Gossypium raimondii (Peruvian cotton). Its description in RNAcentral is "long non-coding RNA (GRAI_LNC011203)". Lineage: Eukaryota; Viridiplantae; Streptophyta; Magnoliopsida; Malvales; Malvaceae. The record is from RNAcentral.
AGAUGUUUUAAAAUCCAAAAUUCCCCUUAAAAAUUUAUUUUGCUUUUUGCCAAUUUAAAAAAAAAACCAAACUGACCCUAGCCUUCUCUACUAGGGUUCUUGCUCUUCCUAUUACCGCCGCCGCCGUUAGGCCGUCCUUUGGCCUCCAACGACGUCCCGGCCUCCGAUUGCGACGGAGGGGGGACACCAACGAUGAAUCCGGCGGAAGAGGUAAGUUUCCUUUCCCCUCUUUUAUAUUUUAAGCGAAAUAAAUAAAAAAAACAAAAAAAAACAUAUAUAUAAAAAACUUUGAAUGAUGAACACCGAGUAAAACGAAAAAAUCACCCUUUUUAUUUUUUUUAUUUUUCUCUUUUCCGUAUUUUCGUUCCUCUUUUACCCUCAAUAUCCC